This 482-nucleotide ribosomal RNA is filed under the name uncultured bacterium. RNAcentral's name for it is "partial 16S ribosomal RNA". It matches the Rfam family "Bacterial small subunit ribosomal RNA", at positions 28 to 523 of the family's 1533-position model. The record is from RNAcentral.
GACGAACGCUGGCGGCGUGCUUUACACAUGCAAGUCGAACGGUGAAGGUGGAGCUUGCUCCGCCGGAUCAGUGGCGAACGGGUGAGUAACACGUGGGCAACCUGCCCCUAACUUUGGGAUAACUACUCGAAAGAGUAGCUAAUACCGGAUAUGAAGUCUGUAGGCAUCUACGGAUUUGGAAAGUUUUUCGGUUAGGGAUGGGCCCGCGGCCUAUCAGCUUGUUGGUGAGGUAGUGGCGCACCAAGGCGACGACGGGUAGCCGGCCUGAGAGGGCGACCGGCCACACUGGGACUGAGACAUGGCCCAGACUCCUACGGGAGGCAGCAGUGGGAAUAUUGCGCAAUGGGCAAAAGCCUGACGCAGCAACGCCGCGUGCGGGAUGAAGGCCUUCGGGUUGUAAACCGCUUUCAGCAGGGAAGAAGCGAAAGUGACGGUACCUGCAGAAGAAGCACCGGCUAACUACGUGCCAGCCGCCGCUGUAA